UUGCCAGACUCCUACGGGAGGCAGCAGUGGGGAAUAUUGCACAAUGGGCGAAAGCCUGAUGCAGCAACGCCGCGUGAAGGAAGAAGGGUUUCGGCUCGUAAACUUCUAUCAACAGGGACGAAAGAAAUGACGGUACCUGACUAAGAAGCCCCGGCUAACUACGUGCCAACAGCCGCGGUAAUACGUAGGGGGCAAGCGUUAUCCGGAUUUACUGGGUGUAAAGGGGGCGCAGACGGCAGCGCAAGCCAGGAGUGAAAGCCCGGGGCCCAACCCCGGGACUGCUCUUGGAACUGCGCGGCUGGAGUGCAGGAGGGGCAGGCGGAAUUCCUGGUGUAGCGGUGAAAUGCGUAGAUAUCAGGAGGAACACCGGUGGCGAAGGCGGCCUGCUGGACUGCGACUGACGUUGAGGCCCGAAAGCGUGGGGAGCAAACAGGAUUAGAUACCCCCGUAA
Molecule: ribosomal RNA, 451 nt
Filed under: uncultured bacterium
Lineage: Bacteria
Description: partial 16S ribosomal RNA
Rfam family: Bacterial small subunit ribosomal RNA
Source: RNAcentral